This 268-nucleotide long non-coding RNA is filed under the name Vigna radiata. RNAcentral describes it as "long non-coding RNA (VRAD_LNC001018)". Lineage: Eukaryota; Viridiplantae; Streptophyta; Magnoliopsida; Fabales; Fabaceae. The record is from RNAcentral.
GUGGCUGGAGAAUGUAGUGGAUGCAAAGAAAAAUGAAACAAAUAUUGGUUCAGUGAUGAGAAUUGAUGAACCAGUGAUGGAGAAAAGUGGAAUGAAGGUAGAGAUUGGGUUCUGAAAUGUGAUGCGGAUGGUGGAGAUAUGCUAGGAUUGGAAGCCUAGCUAGGGAGAGAGGCUAGAGGAAGCUCUCAAGCUCUCUCUCGGUGACCUUCAACAAGAAGAAAUUUCUGGACAGAAAUCAACAGAAUAAUUCUUCAUUCAAAUCAAAGGU